GUUAAUGUGGUUCACUGGUAGAAUAUUUGUUUCAGGCACAAAUGAUAAAGGUUCGAUUCCUUUCAUUAAAA
Molecule: transfer RNA, 71 nt
Filed under: Hofstenia miamia
Lineage: Eukaryota; Metazoa; Xenacoelomorpha; Acoela; Hofsteniidae
Description: tRNA-Leu for anticodon CAG
Rfam family: tRNA
About the family: Transfer RNA (tRNA) molecules are approximately 80 nucleotides in length.
Source: RNAcentral